This 1560-nucleotide unclassified non-coding RNA is filed under the name Hevea brasiliensis (rubber tree). The record is from RNAcentral. Lineage: Eukaryota; Viridiplantae; Streptophyta; Magnoliopsida; Malpighiales; Euphorbiaceae.
UUCCUUGUUAAAUCGUGUACUGGUGAGAGUAAUUCCAACCUUGCACGUGCUUAUUGGCUUAUUUUAUCGCUGGUGGAAAUCUGUUUUCUGUUGUGAAGAUUGACAUUCUUUUUAUCUCCAUAAUUCGUUGCAUACUUGUAAUCGACUUUUAUGUAUUUUCAUGUUUAAGAUUGUUCAAGCUUGUAACAUUGUUACAACACAGCAGAGGAUAUAGUGCUUGUUAACAGAUUUGAAUGUUUUAAUCUCAAAAUAUCACCACUUUUUUUUUAAUCCUUGUGUUUUCAUGUUAACGGUUUAUCAUCUUGAGGUUUUCGUUUACUGAAUAGUUUAUAACCUGUCAGAAUAUAGUAAAGAGAUUCCUAUUAGAGAAUUUACCAUGACAAAGUUCUGGAAAGGAUUUCGAGAAUUCAAUACGCUAACUGGAGAAAUUACCAAGUGGAAGAUAACCCUACUGUGUUCAUUUUUAAUUUUGUUCUCAUAUGUUGUGCUUCUACCUAUGAUGGUAUGAUAGCAAAUAGAUAUUCUAAUUUCUAACUGGAGAUAUUACCAUGAAUAAAUAGAAAUUUAACUGUAGUGUUCAUUUCUAUCUGUAAAUUCAAGGUUUUUUUUUCGGUUAUUUUAAAUUUAUUGUGGACUUGGUGUCUAUUAGAGCUGAAUGAUGAAAAAGGAUCCAUUAGCCCACCCCAACUAGUUUGGCAUUAUUGCUUAGUUGUUGUUAGAAUAAUAACUUAUGGGCUAUGAAGAAAAGAAAAGGGAAACUCUUCUAAUUGAAGAAAUGGCAAUGUGAAAGCUCUAGAAAAUGGAGUCCGUUGACAGGGACUGUUUUAAGUUGACUGCACCAUAUAAUUAGAUUAAAGAACAUAACAAUUUGGCCACUAUUUACACACACACACAUAUUAGCUUACUCUUUUUUAUUUUUUUUAAAUAAAAUUCUACAGUGGAACAUGAAACAUAAAAUAUGUGCACGUAAUUUCUGGUGGUUUUUAUGAGCUUUGGAUGUGUGUUAGUGGUGUCAUUCUACUGUGGGUUGGAUAAAUGGAAAGCUUUAGUUUCUCUAUUAAAGUGUUGUCUACAUGAAGUUUACAUGUCUAUCCAUAAGUCUUGAGCUUUGCCUUUUUUUUGCAUGGCAACUGAUAAUGAUUUGGAGUAGCCAAAUGUUAAAAUGCUGUCUAGUUUUAAGACCACAAAAAUUGAGUGUGUCAAGUGGCUCUGAGACGAGUGUUUGGUCAAAAUCUUACAUUAUACUUGCAAGUUGUCAAAGUUGAGCUCGGUGAUGCAAUGUGCUAAGUGUCUAGAUGCUUGAGGGACCCACCUCAUUCACUUGAUGCUUAUUUUUUCAAUUUGAUUUCCUGUUACUUUUAGAAUUCAAUUCUUAAUUGUAGACUUGAGAGGCAAAUAUGGCAUAGCAUGAGGUAUCAAUUAUAAAAUGUACCCUUAGCUUCUAUUAGGCCAAAAAGCAUCAGCUUUUACAAAUACAAGUUGAGAAAGGAAGACUGCAGAGGAAGAAGAGUGUGGCGUAAGAUAAGUGUUCUUUCUUUUUUUUUUAUUUAUUUUUCUAUU